Molecule: ribosomal RNA, 497 nt
Filed under: uncultured bacterium
Lineage: Bacteria
Description: partial 16S ribosomal RNA
Rfam family: Bacterial small subunit ribosomal RNA
Source: RNAcentral
GACGAACGCUGGCGGCGUGCCUAAUACAUGCAAGUUGAGCGCUGAAGGUUGGUACUUGUACCAACUGGAUGAGCAGCGAACGGGUGAGUAACGCGUGGGGAAUCUGCCUUUGAGCGGGGGACAACAUUUGGAAACGAAUGCUAAUACCGCAUAAAAACUUUAAACACAAGUUUUAAGUUUGAAAGAUGCAAUUGCAUCACUCAAAGAUGAUCCCGCGUUGUAUUAGCUAGUUGGUGAGGUAAAGGCUCACCAAGGCGAUGAUACAUAGCCGACCUGAGAGGGUGAUCGGCCACAUUGGGACUGAGACACGGCCCAAACUCCUACGGGAGGCAGCAGUAGGGAAUCUUCGGCAAUGGACGAAAGUCUGACCGAGCAACGCCGCGGGAGUGAAGAAGGGUUUCGGAUCGUAAAACUCUGUUGGUAGAGAAGAACGUUGGUGAGAGUGGAAAGCUCAUCAAGUGACGGUAACUACACAGAAAGGGACGGCUAACUACGUG